RNAcentral lists this non-coding RNA (29 nucleotides) under Mus musculus (house mouse). The record is from RNAcentral. Lineage: Eukaryota; Metazoa; Chordata; Mammalia; Rodentia; Muridae.
UGAACAUACUGGGGCAUGUGUCCUUAUUU